This 301-nucleotide ribosomal RNA is filed under the name uncultured bacterium. RNAcentral's name for it is "partial 16S ribosomal RNA". It matches the Rfam family "Bacterial small subunit ribosomal RNA", at positions 509 to 809 of the family's 1533-position model. The record is from RNAcentral.
CAGCCGCCGCGGGAAUACGGAGGGUGCAAGCGUUAAUCGGAAUUACUGGGCGUAAAGCGCACGCAGGCGGUUUGUUAAGUCAGAUGUGAAAUCCCCGAGCUUAACUUGGGAACUGCAUUUGAAACUGGCAAGCUAGAGUCUUGUAGAGGGGGGUAGAAUUCCAGGUGUAGCGGUGAAAGGCGUAGAGAUCUGGAGGAAUACCGGUGGCGAAGGCGGCCCCCUGGACAAAGACUGACGCUCAGGUGCGAAAGCGUGGGGAGCAAACAGGAUUAGAGACCCCGGUAGUCCCUGUCUCUUAUAA